GCUGGCAUAGCUCAGUUGGUAGAGCAGCUGAUUUGUAAUCAGCAGGUCGUCGGUUCGAGUCCGAUCGCCAGCU
This 73-nucleotide transfer RNA is filed under the name Ignavibacteriaceae bacterium. Its description in RNAcentral is "tRNA-Thr". It matches the Rfam family "tRNA". From Rfam's summary of the family: Transfer RNA (tRNA) molecules are approximately 80 nucleotides in length. The record is from RNAcentral. Lineage: Bacteria; Pseudomonadati; Ignavibacteriota; Ignavibacteria; Ignavibacteriales; Ignavibacteriaceae. RNAcentral also lists the same sequence under 1 other name.